UACGAAGGGGGCGAGCGUUGUUCGGAAUUACUGGGCGUAAAGGGCGCGUAGGCGGCCGAUCACGUCAGAUGUGAAAGUCCUGGGCUUAACCUGGGGACUGCAUUUGAUACUGAUUGGCUUGAAUUCGGGAGAGGAUAGCGGAAUUCCCAGUGUAGAGGUGAAAUUCGUAGAUAUUGGGAAGAACACCGGUGGCGAAGGCGGCUAUCUGGACCGACAUUGACGCUGAGGCGCGAAAGCGUGGGGAGCAAACAGG
This 253-nucleotide ribosomal RNA is filed under the name uncultured bacterium. RNAcentral describes it as "partial 16S ribosomal RNA". It matches the Rfam family "Bacterial small subunit ribosomal RNA", at positions 524 to 776 of the family's 1533-position model. The record is from RNAcentral.